GGUUGUCAUGCCAAUGGCACUGCCCGGUAGCUAAAUGCGGAAGAGAUAAGUGCUGAAAGCAUCUAAGCACGAAACUUGCCCCGAGAUGAGUCUUCCCUGAGACUUUAAGUCUCCUGAAGGAACGUUAAAGACGAUGACGUUGAUAGGCCGGGUGUGUAAGCGCAGCGAUGCGUUGAGCUAACCGGUACUAAUGAACCGUGAGGCUUAACCUUACAACGCCGAAGCUGUU
This 229-nucleotide ribosomal RNA is filed under the name Salmonella enterica. RNAcentral describes it as "partial 23S ribosomal RNA". It matches the Rfam family "Bacterial large subunit ribosomal RNA", at positions 2719 to 2925 of the family's 2925-position model. Lineage: Bacteria; Pseudomonadati; Pseudomonadota; Gammaproteobacteria; Enterobacterales; Enterobacteriaceae. The record is from RNAcentral.